CGUGCUUAACACAUGCAAGUCGAACGAGACGAUUUAGAAGCUUGCUUUUAUUGAGUCGAGUGGCAAACGGGUGAGUAACGCGUAGACAACCUGCCGCAAAGAUGGGGACAACAGUCCGAAAGGACUGCUAAUACCGAAUGUUGUAUCUCCUCCGCAUGGAAGAGAUAUUAAAGAUGGCCUCUACUUGUAAGCUAUCGCUUUGCGAUGGGUCUGCGUCUGAUUAGCUAGUUGGUGGGGCAACGGCCUACCAAGGCGACGAUCAGUAGCCGGUCUGAGAGGAUGAACGGCCACAUUGGAACUGAGACACGGUCCAGACUCCUACGGGAGGCAGCAGUGGGGAAUCUUCCGCAAUGGGCGAAAGCCUGACGGAGCAACGCCGCGUGAGUGAAGAAGGUCUUCGGAUCGUAAAGCUCUGUUGUCGAGGACGAAUGUUGAGACCUAGAACAUAGGUUUCAAAUGACGGUACCUGACGAGGAAGCCACGGCUAACUACGUG
RNAcentral lists this ribosomal RNA (495 nucleotides) under uncultured bacterium. Its description in RNAcentral is "bacterial SSU rRNA". It matches the Rfam family "Bacterial small subunit ribosomal RNA", at positions 43 to 507 of the family's 1533-position model. The record is from RNAcentral.